Molecule: non-coding RNA, 69 nt
Organism: Podarcis lilfordi (Lilford's wall lizard)
Lineage: Eukaryota; Metazoa; Chordata; Lepidosauria; Squamata; Lacertidae
Source: the annotation of a GenBank genome assembly
GCUGUAGCUCAGAGGGAGAGCAUCUGCUUGGGAUGCAGAACGUCCCGGGUUCGAUCCCCAGCGUCUCCA